This 30-nucleotide non-coding RNA is filed under the name Rattus norvegicus (Norway rat). Lineage: Eukaryota; Metazoa; Chordata; Mammalia; Rodentia; Muridae. The record is from RNAcentral.
UACUUUAGGACUAAGCACAGAGGAGAUGGU